GGCUCGCCAGGACCCCGCGGACCCGCGCUGCGGUGGGAGCUCGGGAGGCGGAGGCGGAGGCGGGAGGCGGCGGCGGCGCGCGGAGACGC
RNAcentral lists this microRNA precursor (89 nucleotides) under Dasypus novemcinctus (nine-banded armadillo). RNAcentral's name for it is "miRNA (ENSDNOG00000046542.1)". Lineage: Eukaryota; Metazoa; Chordata; Mammalia; Cingulata; Dasypodidae. The record is from RNAcentral.